ACACUCGCUGGCAGGCUGGGUGCCGGAUCCCUCGCCCGCCCAGGAAAGUGGGUUACGGAGGGAAGAGGCUCAGCUCAGAUGCUGGCAAAGGAGCAUCCAGCCACAGAGACCAGAGAACACCUUCCUUUUUGCUGCCUCGUCUCCAUCCUUUCUAGAGGGUUUUAUAUUUGCACUCUCUCUUUUAAAAUUUUGUUUCUUUGACUUUUCCCCACCUCUGCUCUGGUUUUAUGAGGGCUUUGUUAAGUCUUAGACGGGAAAGAGACUGAGUGAGGGAAAGAAAGAGGCAAAGUGGAAAGGACCACAAAUUGGCAAAGCCUGUUCUGCUUUUGCUGUGGAUGAAAGUCCUCUGUUUGUAAAGCCCUCUCGGCGUGAGCAGCACGCGCACCCUCCAGAGUAGCCGGACCCUGCACCGCACCUCGGCGUGGCCACCAUGGUCGCCAGAGUUCAGCCUGAUCGGAAACAGUUGCCGCUAGUCCUACUGAGAUUGCUCUGCCUUCUUCCCACAGGACUGCCUGUUCGCAGCGUGGAUUUUAACCGAGGCACCGACAACAUCACCGUGAGGCAGGGGGACACGGCCAUCCUCAGGUGAUUCUAAUGUACAGGCUGCUGAGGACAACUGAUUUAGUGGUUCCAUAAGCCAAGGCAGUUGAUGACUGAGAGAGAUGAAAUAAAGGAGCAUUCCUCAGAAUAAAAUGAUAAAGUGAGAGGCAACCUAUUCCUGAGUUGAGACCUGAGUAAGUAACCAGAGGAGGUGUGGAGGAUGGGCUUUCGUUCUUCUAAACACGUGACACAUCAUUUUAAAGACGAAGAUGGUAGAUUACUGUACAUUGCUGAGCAGAGACAGGCCAAAUAAUUCUCUGGUUUGACUAAUGAGUUUCUUCCCAAACAAGUGAAAUGGUUUUGUUCUUAUUUAACAAAAUCCCUUUACAUGGCUUGGUUUGAGGUUAGCAGGUUUAGCUCUCAGAUGAAGGAGGAAAGGACUAGUUAGCUUGCAGCUCCAGGCACCAACAUACUGAUGAGCCAAUUGUGACACGUAAUCAAUGUGUGAAAAGUGGGUAAUUCUCACUAAUGCCCUGCUAAUGUUUUCAGAAUGAUCUGUCAAAGGACUGAAGCUAAUUAUUGUCAUGGCAGUUUGGCCCAGGUCCACUGGAAUAAUCCUGGCAUCAGUGAACAAGAGCAUACCAUACGUUGCCAGUUUGUCACCCACUUUGAGUCUUUAUUCCUCUUUCUCCUCACAUAGAAAUCCUAUAUACCAUUUUCUAUAUUCUUUAAAAUAUGUAAUUACAUCCUUCAUUUCCCUUUCAUUUUCUUGUUUUCCAAGCUCCAUGCUUCAUCUUUUUUUUUUUCCCCCUACUUCCCUUUUCCUUUUUAUUGCAAAAAAUAUUGGAUGGUAACUCAAGAGUCCUAAAAUCUAAUCCUGGUUUUACUAUAAGAGCAAACUGUGUCAUACUCUCUGUGUCUGUUUAUAGGAAAGAAGGAGCAGAUAAGCUGUAAUAAAGGAACUAGGUAUGCAAUAGUGUCCUUUUGUUUGAAAAUAACAAAAUUCUGGAUUUACCUUGCAUGUCUGCUCUAUGUUUAGGUCCAUGGCAUCGUUUUUUUUAUCAAGUUUAUUUAUCACUACGAUGACUCAUUUCUGAACCAUGGGACAUCUAGUAAGCAGGGUACCUACUAGUAAUCAAUUGUGUAGGAAAUGGAGUUUAACCUGCUCUAGAAAUUUAAAGGCGGAGGGAAAACAUUGAGUCUUCAGGUACAAAGACAUACUCCCAGGUACAUAGCAAGGUGACACUGCCAUCUCCAAACUUUCUUGUAAGAUAGUUUUCUCUUGGAAUAAUUUUUCAUUAAUAAUCUCUUGAAUAAUAUCAUAGCAAUGCCUUGGAUCAGUAUAGCAUCUAGUGAUGGUCUCAGAUCUCUUCUCAUCUCAGUUUUAACAUCCCUGUGAAAUAGUUGGGGUGGAUAAUAAUUAUCCCUUCUUUGUUGAUGGAAAACUGGCAAAAGGAGAUUAAUAACAUUUAUAGUCAAAGUGAAUUUGCAUUAUGCAUUUUCCUUCUUAAGCAGUCUUCCCUGCAAGACUGUUCAUGUGUAUGUGUUUAUGUAUAUGUGAUGUGUUUACUUUUUUAGCAAACAGCAUAGUAAAGCGAUGCACAGUUUUUCACUUUUGAGCCAAGUUGAGAAACAGUGUAAUUUUUACUCCCAAAAGAGGCAAAAGCUGUAACAAGUAAGAAAUUUGGAGAUUAAAAAAAAAAAUUUUAAGUAUUUAAACAUUACCUUAGAGCAAAGAUCAGCAAACUUUUUCUAUAAAGGGAUAGAGAGUAAAUAUUUAGAUGUUGUAGGACACAAAUAUUAUCAGUUACAUACUCUUUUCUUAAAUUGCAACCCAACCCUUAACAAAAUUAAAAAAAUUAUUUUUAUUAUUAUUUUUUAAAUUUUUUUGUCUUUUUAGGGCCACACCCAUGGAAUAUGGACUUCCCCAGGCUAGGGGUCCAGUUGGAGCUGUAGCCACCAGCCUACACCAGAGCCACAACAAUACUGGAUCCGAGGUGCGUCUGCAACCUACACCACCACUUACGGCAAUGUUGGAUCCUUAACUCACUCAGUGAGGCCAGGGAUCAAACCUGAGUCAUCAUGGAUGCUAGUCAAGUUUGUUAACCAUUCAACCACAACAGGAACUCCUACAAAAUUUUUUUUUCUUGAAGACUUUAAAAGAAACAGGCCACAAGCCAGAUUUGGCCCUUGGGCCAUAGUUUGCCAAUCCCUGCCUUUGAGUCAUUCUCAUAUUGUGUAGUCCUAGGAGGUAGCUGCUAUUGAUAAUCCCAUUUUACAAAUGAGAAGACUGUGGAUAAUAAAGUAGAAUCAGUUACUUGUCCUACAAGUAAAGCCCGAAGUGUUCUCAGUGAAGUGUUGCUGCUACACACUAGGUAUCUCGUGGUGUGCUAAAAGGGCUCCAGGUGUAAAGAGUGUUACACAUGGGAAAGCCAGUGACUGUAGAAUGAGGAAUCGAAAAUUCCUAACCCAGAAGGAAUCCAGGGGAAACACACAGUUUGUGACAAUGAUUAGGUUUCUGUCUUUUAAUUCUGUAUUUUACCUGCACAUGAAUCCAGACUAUGAUGUUGCAUCAGGUUGUCCAUGUAUGACUGUUUUCCUUGCUUGUCAGAAUAUUUCUCCUCAACCUGGAUCCUCUCUUUAUCACAGAUCUUUUUAACUGUGCUGAUUCUUACCUAUGGUCAUGUUUUUUUUUUUUCUACUAUACUCUGACUUCCUUUAGAGGAUUCUUAAGUAUCAUUUCCAGUUGGAUAAACGUUUAUUUCCCUUCCACAUACCCACUUGAUCCAGAAAGACUUUGAUCUGAACAAUCUUCUAAUAAUAAAAAUCAUAUGCCACUUUUUUGCUUAGAAUUCAUGAUGGUCUUCCCAUAGCCUUUAACAAAUACCAUAUGAUAUCACUUACAUCUGGAAUCUAAUAUACGGCAGAAAUGAACCUUUCCACAGAAAAGAAAAUCAUGGACUUGGAGAACAGACUUGUGGUUACAAAGGAGGGAGUGGGAUGUAUUGGGAGUUUGGGGUUAAUAGAUGUGGACUCUUGCCUUUGGACUGGAUUGGCAAUGAGAUCCUGCUGUGUAGCACUGGUAACUAUGUCUAGUCACUUAUGAUGGAACAUGAUAAUGUGAGAAAAAAGAAAAUAUACAUGUAUGUGUGACUGGGUCACCAUGCUGUAUGGUAGAAAAAAUAAAUUAAAAAAAUUUGAAAGAA
RNAcentral lists this long non-coding RNA (3746 nucleotides) under Sus scrofa (pig). RNAcentral describes it as "lncRNA (ENSSSCG00055017212.1)". The record is from RNAcentral. Lineage: Eukaryota; Metazoa; Chordata; Mammalia; Artiodactyla; Suidae.